RNAcentral lists this ribosomal RNA (497 nucleotides) under uncultured bacterium. RNAcentral describes it as "partial 16S ribosomal RNA". It matches the Rfam family "Bacterial small subunit ribosomal RNA", at positions 28 to 507 of the family's 1533-position model. The record is from RNAcentral.
GAUGAACGCUGGCGGCGUGCCUAAUACAUGCAAGUCGAGCGAACGGACGAGAAGCUUGCUUCUCUGAUGUUAGCGGCGGACGGGUGAGUAACACGUGGAUAACCUACCUAUAAGACUGGGAUAACUUCGGGAAACCGGAGCUAAUACCGGAUGAUAUUUUGAACCGCAUGGUUCAAAAGUGAAAGACGGUCUUGCUGUCACUUAUAGAUGGAUCCGCGCUGCAUUAGCUAGUUGGUAAGGUAACGGCUUACCAAGGCAACGAUGCAUAGCCGACCUGAGAGGGUGAUCGGCCACACUGGAACUGAGACGCGGUCCAGACUCCUACGGGAGGCAGCAGUAGGGAAACAUCCGCAAUGGGCGAAAGCCUGAGGGAGCAACGCCGCGUGAGUGAUGAAGGGCUUCGGAUCGUAAAACUCUGUUAUUAGGGAAGAACAUAUGUGUAAGUAACUGUGCACAUCUUGACGGUACCUAAUCAGAAGGCCACGGCUAACUACGUG